RNAcentral lists this long non-coding RNA (3646 nucleotides) under Venturia canescens. RNAcentral's name for it is "uncharacterized LOC122408828". The record is from RNAcentral. Lineage: Eukaryota; Metazoa; Arthropoda; Insecta; Hymenoptera; Ichneumonidae.
CUCUCCACGCUCUCGGAAUUUUCAAGAUUCGAGCCGCCUUGUUUUUAAUUGAAUUCUACUCUCCGCGGGGAUCACACAGAUUAUUCAAACGCACUUUGCUCAUGUCGAUUCUGACGUGUUUCUAACCUAUCAAUUUUUUCUCACGUUAAAUUGUGACUUCGGGGACUUGAGUUCCAACCAAAUUUUGUGCUUCUUUUCGCUUCAUUACUAGCGUUAUAAGCGAAGCAUUUAAAAGAUUCUUCAACUUAUGGCCGUGUACACAGUUCUAUUUUUUUGAGGCUCGAAGCUCGGCCUCUGAUCCAACGUUCGACAAAACAGAGUUGAGCGCAUAGUGACAUCUCGCGGCGCUUAAAAAAAGCGAUGACGCGACUGUUUUAGCGACUGAAAAAUGCUACAACUUCAACUAAAUAAUCAUCAUCACGAAAUCGCCCAUCCACGGUUAUCAAGAUACGACGUGUGGCUAGUCUUUGGAGUUGAAAAACUAUCUUCUGAGUAUACUUGACGCCGAGACGCUCGCCCCGUGUGUUCAGAUUGUCGUCCCAAUUCCAAGUCAAUCAGUAAUUUCGAAGGAGAUAAACCCACCUAAUCAUCAAAUUGAAAAAUCAAUAAAAUUGUUAGCGCAAAUACCAUGAAAUUCGAUACGUUCGUGAACAAAGAUAAUGAAAAUCGUUUGAAAACGUUUCAAACACUCACCGUCCUCGCAAUCAGGAACCUUCUCGUUGAAAACACACCUCAAUGUUUUUGGAUCAAAUGAAUGCGUCUGGACAGCACAUGAAUGAAGGACCCCUGUACCACUCGAACAACCAACGAAUAGCUUACAGUUUUCCGGAUAUACAAUAUUUCCAGACCAUCCCGGAGGACAGGUCGGUACCACAUCCCACUUAUCAAUGAAAGUUGUCUAAAAAUUCAUAUUUAUUUAUAUGCAUAAAAAAAUAAUUAAAUAGUAUCGUGAUAAAUGAUCAAUUUAAAAAUCAUUUUACAAGCUGCCUCAAUUUUUCUAGAUGUCAAAAUAAAUGACACUUACGCGUGCUGACGAGUUUGUCGCAACGUAACUCAGAACGAACAGCACUGCAAUACUCAUUUGCAGUGCUAAUGCCAUUUCGUAGUCUUUGUAUUUUUCGAGCAAGUCGUUUCACUGUACCGAAUAAUAUUCAUAUUGAAUAUAUUUUUUUUUUUCUCAAUUUUGAUUCUAUUGAAAAAGGGCUGAUAAUGAAACUUAUGAAGGCCCAAACCGUUGAAUCUCAUAAACAUUCGAACCUUAUUAUGACUUUUUAUAAAAUAAAAGCCCAAUGUCGGUUCCAAUUAUGAAAGAAAAUAUGAAAAAUCGAGAUUGGAAGAAACAUGCACUAAAAAUAGGUGUCUUUGAAAGUAUGAAAAUUCAUUAUAGACACAAAUGUCAACCGAAUCAUAAACGAAUCGCCAAAAAAUUGACAUUUUUUGUUAGAAAAAAAAUGUAAGAACGAUCGAAUUUUUGAAAAAGCUUCCUUUGAGUAAAUUUUUUUUUUCAAACAUCGUGAGAAUUGACGGAAUGUUUUUCCAAAUUUGGUUAAAAUUAUUUAAAAAAAAAGAAACUUACUUGCCUUUCUUAGCCAAAGCAAUUGACUAAGGUUCCAGGUAGACUUUGACUCGAUUGAGUUCUGAAUUCGACUUUUUAUAGCCAAUAUUAGACACCAUCAUCUACGUCAAUCUUAAUUAAACAGACGUUUAGAUCCAACUGUAUUAACAAAAUUCAAAAGAUAUGCUAAUAAUGGAAUAAAGAAAAAUUGAGGAGGAAUGACCCGGUAAUUGACCACAAUUGGCAUACGAAAUAUUUCCAACAAUUAGCUAAGCUAGGUUGAUAACAAUUCGUUACACAAACGAACGAUGACUACAUCAAAAGUGUGUCAAUAACCAUUUAAUUUCAUCACUUUCAUUACAUUCGUUGUAUAAAUUUAUAAUUAUUUUUGAAUUCAGACCGAAGAUGUGAAUUCAAGAACGAAAAUAUAUUUGUGGCGUUCGAUCUAAGCAUGAAAAUCCAUAAUAUUUCUUUCUUUCAGUCCCAACCGUCACAUGUUGGCUUUCGGUACAGAAGCUACGCCGCCGUGAGGAUUAUAAUAUUUCGCUUCGAGGGCAUUCAGUUUCGCGACUUCUUUUGCUUUAUUCAACGAAAAUAAUCCAUAACGCCCUUCGAAUUUAUCGCGGAAACAUUUUUUCCCAUGAUUGCACAAUCGAAUUGUACAAAGAAUGAAGAUGAUAACAAAAAAAAAAAAAAAGUUCUCAUAUAAAAUGAAAAAUAAUCAAAUCGAUCAUUGAAUGAGAACUAGCGACUUCUCCCGAUGCCAACUAAAGUCUGUUAUGUUUAUAAUAUAUUUUUAUUUCAUAUAACUUUUUUUUUGUUAUUAUCUUCAUUCUUGUACAAUCAUUCAACUUUGACAAAAUUAUAUUUAAAUUUGCGUAUGUUUGCAUAUAAAUGACUUAUCUACAAUCAAUCAAUAUCGACCACAGGAAUCAAAUCUCAAAGGAGUUGCACUUGACAAUCAAACAGUUUCUUAGUUAUCUUAAUUAUAUUCCAUCUAUUUUAUUUCAGACUUUUUCACGGUUACUACUGUUUUCUUAAGUAAAGAAGUUUCAAAGGAUCAAUCACUUUUCGAUAAUGUAUAUUUUUUUUAAUUCAUUUUUUCUCGUUUUCAUUUUAUUUGCAGUACGCUAUUCGGCUCUGUGCGCGCUUACACGUAAUACUACUUUAAAAGUGAGCGUGUGUCGUGUAUACGUAUAUAGUUCUGUAUGCCUCCAAAAACGCCGGAGCCCCCUUUAUGGUGGCGCUAGCAGUAUGCAUGAAUACACUAAUACUAUUAGUCCAGUAGUAUUAGAUUUUUGGCUUGGCCCACGCGCACGAAGCGAAUAGGAUUUUUUCAGUCGGGAGUUAAAAUCGAGCAUUGGACUACCGAUCGACCGCGAAUCGCAUUCGAAUUGAUCUCGUAGCGACAUCUCCGGCGUUUAAAAAAAGCGAUGACACGGCAGUUUUAGCGACUCAGAAUAAAUGGUAUAAUCUAUUUGAGAAAAUGCCUUAAGCUUCACUAUUGGGAUCUGACAUGGAGGCGUGGCCUAAAAUUAAAAUGGCGCAGAUGAGGGUGCAAUCGCAUGGGUUAAGCCCGUGUAUGAUAUAGGCUCACCAUGUAAAUAUAGCAUUAGUUAUAAAUAUUUAGGAUAAAUAAUGGUAGUUUUAAUAAAAAGUGAUAUUUAUCGAUGGUCCGGUUCAAUUCAUAGUCAUUAAAAAUUCUUUUUUCUUUUUUUUUCUCUUUUUUUCUUUUUCUAUUUUAUUUUUUUCUUUUUUUGGAUUAUUCGUGAGGUGUAAACACAUCUACUCCCAUUUUUGUUUAAUUUUGGGCAAAAACACUAAUUUUAAUUGAUAUGUAUCAAUGAGCAAUGCACCCCGGUUAUAGUUGGAAAAUUCAACACCAGAUGUCUCACGAAUUUUGUCAGAUCCCAAUAGUGAGACAACCGCGGAGCCAACACAACGAGAACAAUAAUAAUAAUAAUAAAUACGGUUUUCCUACCACUUGGAUAAUUGUUUCAAAUCGUUUAUUUAUUUUUUUUAUACGUAUUUUCGAGUAAUGCUUAGUAAAUCGAGCGUUCACGAUUAUCGAAAUAUACGUCGUGACUCAUC